AGAAUUCAGCAUAGCAAGUUCGUAUGAAGGUCUGGUUAUUAAAUGGGUACAUAGUUCAAUAGUAAUAUCCUCUAAAACGCUCUGGUGACAAACUUUGCUGCCCUGUUUCCAAUUGUCCACAUGGCUGGGAGAACCUAUUCAACACUGCACAGCUGAUUCAAAUGGUCAACUCCUCAUCAAGCUGCAAGUGAUACCUUGUAACUGGAGAUUACUUCAAAAUUAUUGCCUACAGUUAACGUGUAGGGCACUGCAAGGUUGGGUGACCAGGGCUAUCUGGGACUUCCUCCUGGAGGAAUUCAGGUGUGUGAAGGCUACCUGUGUCCUGCAUAACUUCAUGUGGAUGGACACGAGAACCAGGGGGGAUCUGCAGCUCGCCGCAGUGUGCCAGAGGAGAAGUCUGCUGCUCUGCAGGAUGUUUCAAGGAUGGUGUCCAACAAUGCAACAAGAGGCAAUCCAUGUGCGAGAGAUUUUCACCUCCUAUAAUUAGACACCCUAUUACCUACACACUCAUGUCUCAAUUUGAUUGAUGGAUUGUGUUGUGCAGUAAGCAGGCUCAGGUGUAUAACUGUGUCUACUUCCACCUUAAAAGAAUAGGCAAGAGGGCCAACCAUGGAGAAUAUCUCUCUGUCACGGUUGUCGUCUGGAAUGGAGG
RNAcentral lists this long non-coding RNA (652 nucleotides) under Salmo salar (Atlantic salmon). Its description in RNAcentral is "lncRNA (ENSSSAG00000083531.1, ENSSSAG00020079143.1)". Lineage: Eukaryota; Metazoa; Chordata; Actinopteri; Salmoniformes; Salmonidae. The record is from RNAcentral.